AGCGUACACGGUGGAUGCCCUGGCAGUCAGAGGCGAUGAAGGACGUGCUAAUCUGCGAUAAGCGUCGGUAAGGUGAUAUGAACCGUUAUAACCGGCGAUUUCCGAAUGGGGAAACCCAGUGUGUUUCGACACACUAUCAUUAACUGAAUCCAUAGGUUAAUGAGGCGAACCGGGGGAACUGAAACAUCUAAGUACCCCGAGGAAAAGAAAUCAACCGAGAUUCCCCCAGUAGCGGCGAGCGAACGGGGAGCAGCCCAGAGCCUGAAUCAGUGUGUGUGUUAGUGGAAGCGUCUGGAAAGGCGCGCGAUACAGGGUGACAGCCCCGUACACAAAAAUGCACAUAUUGUGAGCUCGAUGAGUAGGGCGGGACACGUGGUAUCCUGUCUGAAUAUGGGGGGACCAUCCUCCAAGGCUAAAUACUCCUGACUGACCGAUAGUGAACCAGUACCGUGAGGGAAAGGCGAAAAGAACCCCGGCGAGGGGAGUGAAAAAGAACCUGAAACCGUGUACGUACAAGCAGUGGGAGCACGCUUAGGCGUGUGACUGCGUACCUUUUGUAUAAUGGGUCAGCGACUUAUAUUCUGUAGCAAGGUUAACCGAAUAGGGGAGCCGAAGGGAAACCGAGUCUUAACUGGGCGUUAAGUUGCAGGGUAUAGACCCGAAACCCGGUGAUCUAGCCAUGGGCAGGUUGAAGGUUGGGUAACACUAACUGGAGGACCGAACCGACUAAUGUUGAAAAAUUAGCGGAUGACUUGUGGCUGGGGGUGAAAGGCCAAUCAAACCGGGAGAUAGCUGGUUCUCCCCGAAAGCUAUUUAGGUAGCGCCUCGUGAAUUCAUCUCCGGGGGUAGAGCACUGUUUCGGCAAGGGGGUCAUCCCGACUUACCAACCCGAUGCAAACUGCGAAUACCGGAGAAUGUUAUCACGGGAGACACACGGCGGGUGCUAACGUCCGUCGUGAAGAGGGAAACAACCCAGACCGCCAGCUAAGGUCCCAAAGUCAUGGUUAAGUGGGAAACGAUGUGGGAAGGCCCAGACAGCCAGGAUGUUGGCUUAGAAGCAGCCAUCAUUUAAAGAAAGCGUAAUAGCUCACUGGUCGAGUCGGCCUGCGCGGAAGAUGUAACGGGGCUAAACCAUGCACCGAAGCUGCGGCAGCGACGCUUAUGCGUUGUUGGGUAGGGGAGCGUUCUGUAAGCCUGCGAAGGUGUGCUGUGAGGCAUGCUGGAGGUAUCAGAAGUGCGAAUGCUGACAUAAGUAACGAUAAAGCGGGUGAAAAGCCCGCUCGCCGGAAGACCAAGGGUUCCUGUCCAACGUUAAUCGGGGCAGGGUGAGUCGACCCCUAAGGCGAGGCCGAAAGGCGUAGUCGAUGGGAAACAGGUUAAUAUUCCUGUACUUGGUGUUACUGCGAAGGGGGGACGGAGAAGGCUAUGUUGGCCGGGCGACGGUUGUCCCGGUUUAAGCGUGUAGGCUGGUUUUCCAGGCAAAUCCGGAAAAUCAAGGCUGAGGCGUGAUGACGAGGCACUACGGUGCUGAAGCAACAAAUGCCCUGCUUCCAGGAAAAGCCUCUAAGCAUCAGGUAACAUCAAAUCGUACCCCAAACCGACACAGGUGGUCAGGUAGAGAAUACCAAGGCGCUUGAGAGAACUCGGGUGAAGGAACUAGGCAAAAUGGUGCCGUAACUUCGGGAGAAGGCACGCUGAUAUGUAGGUGAAGUCCCUUGCGGAUGGAGCUGAAAUCAGUCGAAGAUACCAGCUGGCUGCAACUGUUUAUUAAAAACACAGCACUGUGCAAACACGAAAGUGGACGUAUACGGUGUGACGCCUGCCCGGUGCCGGAAGGUUAAUUGAUGGGGUCAGCGCAAGCGAAGCUCUUGAUCGAAGCCCCGGUAAACGGCGGCCGUAACUAUAACGGUCCUAAGGUAGCGAAAUUCCUUGUCGGGUAAGUUCCGACCUGCACGAAUGGCGUAAUGAUGGCCAGGCUGUCUCCACCCGAGACUCAGUGAAAUUGAACUCGCUGUGAAGAUGCAGUGUACCCGCGGCAAGACGGAAAGACCCCGUGAACCUUUACUAUAGCUUGACACUGAACAUUGAGCCUUGAUGUGUAGGAUAGGUGGGAGGCUUUGAAGUGUGGACGCCAGUCUGCAUGGAGCCGACCUUGAAAUACCACCCUUUAAUGUUUGAUGUUCUAACGUUGACCCGUAAUCCGGGUUGCGGACAGUGUCUGGUGGGUAGUUUGACUGGGGCGGUCUCCUCCUAAAGAGUAACGGAGGAGCACGAAGGUUGGCUAAUCCUGGUCGGACAUCAGGAGGUUAGUGCAAUGGCAUAAGCCAGCUUGACUGCGAGCGUGACGGCGCGAGCAGGUGCGAAAGCAGGUCAUAGUGAUCCGGUGGUUCUGAAUGGAAGGGCCAUCGCUCAACGGAUAAAAGGUACUCCGGGGAUAACAGGCUGAUACCGCCCAAGAGUUCAUAUCGACGGCGGUGUUUGGCACCUCGAUGUCGGCUCAUCACAUCCUGGGGCUGAAGUAGGUCCCAAGG
This 2531-nucleotide ribosomal RNA is filed under the name human gut metagenome. Its description in RNAcentral is "bacterial LSU rRNA". It matches the Rfam family "Bacterial large subunit ribosomal RNA", at positions 14 to 2570 of the family's 2925-position model. The record is from RNAcentral.